This 483-nucleotide ribosomal RNA is filed under the name uncultured bacterium. Its description in RNAcentral is "partial 16S ribosomal RNA". It matches the Rfam family "Bacterial small subunit ribosomal RNA", at positions 29 to 523 of the family's 1533-position model. The record is from RNAcentral.
AGUGAACGCUGGCGGCGUGCCUCAGACAUGCAAGUCGAACGAUUAAAGCUCUCUUCGGAGAGUGCAUAAAGUGGCGCACGGGUGAGUAACACGUAAGUAAUCUACCUUCGAGUGGGGAAUAACGUCCGGAAACGGACGCUAAUACCGCAUAAUGCAGCGGCACCUAAUGGUGACAGUUGUUAAAGAAUUUAUUCGCUUGAAGAGGAGCUUGCGGCAGAUUAGCUAGUUGGUAAGGUAAUGGCUUACCAAGGCUUCGAUCUGUAACCGGUCUAAGAGGACGGUCGGUCACACUGACACUGAAUAACGGGUCAGACUCCUACGGGAGGCAGCAGUCGGGAAUUUUGGGCAAUGGGCGAAAGCCUGACCCAGCAACGCCGCGUGAAGGAUGAAGUAUGUCGGUAUGUAAACUUCGAAAGAAUGGGAAGAAUCAAUGACGGUACCAUUUAUAAGGUCCGGCUAACUACGUGCCAGCCGCCGCAGUAA